CAGAGAAGUUGAAUCAUAUAUCUAGCAGCCAAAGCAUUAAAAGGUUCUGAAGACGAAGAAAGAUUGUUCAGACUGCACUUGUUCCAAUUCAAUGGCAUAUCUGUCUUCGGGAGCUUCUCAAAUAAUAUAUGCGAGACAAUACAGGCAUUCUGGAAGUAAUGCAAUUGUUGCUAGAACAUCUAACAUGGAAAUGCGGCAACUACGGGACUGUGGCACAAAUCAUAGAAUUUCAAAGCACCAGUUAAACAUGUGGGCUAUUGCAGGAAUUAAGAAGAACAAGUUUGUCAAUAAAAUUGUCGUAAAGGCUGUAGCAGAAAAGGAAAUGUCAAACAAUACUCCUCAUUCCAAGUAUGAUGUUUUUGUAAGCUUUAGAGGCGAGGACAUCCGCCGAGGCUUUCUCAGCCAUUUGGUUGAGAUAUCUUCUCGAAAGCAAAUAAAUGUCUUUGUUGACGACAAACUUACGAGGGGAGAGGACAUAUCAGAUUCACUUUUUCAAGCAAUUGAAGGGUCAUGCAUUUCAUUGAUCAUAUUCUCAGAAAACUAUGCUUCUUCACGUUGGUGUUUAGAAGAGCUUGCCAAAAUAAUUGAGUGCAAAGAGAAAUAUGGACAGAUUGUAAUACCUGUUUUCUAUGAAGUAGAUCCUUCAAAUGUACGAUAUCAAAAGAAGAGUUAUGAAAAUGCAUUUGCUGAACAUGAAAAAAGGUAUAAGUCCAAGGUGCAGAUAUGGAGACGUGCUUUGAAUAUAUCUGCUAAUUUGUCAGGAAUUACAUCAUCAAGUCUUCAGAAUGAUGCUGAGCUACUUGAAGAAAUCAUCAAUGUCGUGGUGAAGACAAUGAGUAACCACCCUAUUAUCACAAAAGGACUUAUUGGAAUUGGUAAAACAAUUGCACGUUUAGAAUCAUUGUUACGUCAAGAGUCAGAAAAGGUUCGUGUCAUUGGAAUUUGGGGUAUGGGAGGCAUUGGCAAAACUACUGUUGCAGAAAUGUAUUUUAACCAAAAUUUCUCUGAAUAUGACGGUGGUUGUUUUUUGGAAAAGGUAAGUGAAGAACUCGUACGGCAUGGAAUAACAUAUUUAAAAGAAAAGCUUUUUUCUACACUAUUAGCUGAAGAUGUGAAAAUCAAUUCACCAAAUUGGCUGUCGGAUUAUACUGCGAAAAGGAUUGGCCGCAUGAAGGUUCUUAUUGUUCUUGAUGAUGUUAAGGAAGAAGACCAACUUGAGAAGUUAUUUGGUACUCUUGAUUGGUUUCGACCCGAUAGUAGAAUAAUUGUAACAGCUAGAGAUAAGCAAGUACUUAUUGCUAAUAAAGUUGAUGAUCAUGAUAUAUUAGAAGUUCGGGAAUUGGAGCCUAGUGAAGCACUUGAGCUUUUCAAUUUGAAUGCCUUUAAACAACGUCAUCUUGAAAGGGAUUAUUAUGAUUUAUCAGAGAGGGUGGUCAAUUAUGCUAAAGGAAUUCCAUUAGUUCUUAAAGUUUUGGGUAAUCUGCUUUGUGGAAAAGAAAGGGAAGUAUGGGAAAGUCGGCUAGAUAAACUUAAGAGAAUGCAAAAUCCUGAAGUUUAUGAUGUACUGAGACUCAGUUAUGAUGAUCUUGAUCAUUUAGAGAAAAAAUAUUUUUUAGAUAUUGCUUGUUUCUUCAAUGGGUUGAGUUUGAAAGUGGACUACAUGCAACUUUUAUUGAAAGAUUAUGAAAGUGACAAUUCAGUGGUUGUUGGGUUAGAAAGUUUGAAAGAUAAAGCUCUUAUAACUAUUUCUAAAUAUAAUGUAAUAUCUAUGCAUGACAUGAUACAAGAAAUGGGUAGGGAGGUUGUUCGCAAAGAAUCCAGUGAAGAUCCUAGUAAACGCAGUCGAUUAUGGGAUCCUGAAGAAAUUUGUGAUGCAUUUAAAAAUGUUAAGGGUACUGAUGCACUGCCAGCUAUUAGAAGCAUAAGGGCAGACUUGUCAGUAAUUAGGAAGCUGAAGUUAAGCUCCCAUGUAUUUGCCAAGAUGACCAAUCUGAAAUUUUUGGAUUUUAAUGGUUGGUACGAUCAAGAAUGUUUUGAUCUUCAAGGGCCUCAAUCUUUUCCAACUGGUCUAAGAUAUCUUCAUUGGAUACAUUAUCCUCUAAAAUCAUUCCCAGAGAAGUUUUCUGCAGAGAACCUUGUUAUAUUGGACUUGUCACGUGGCCUAGUGGAAAAGCUUUGGUCUGGAGUGCAGGAACUAGUUAAUCUAAGAGAAGUUCGACUCUCUAAUUCAGUAUUACUGAAGGAGUUACCAGACUUUUCCAAAGCCACAAGUCUUAAUGUAUUGCUUAUGGAACAUUGUACUGGGUUGGAAAGCAUCCAUCCAUCUAUUUUCUCUCUUCAAAAGCUUAUGCAAUUGGACCUAAGUCUUUGCUUUUCCCUUGCAACAUUUACAAGCAGUUCCCAUUUAAGCUCCCUCCAUUAUCUCAACCUUGGAUUUUGCACAAAUCUUAGUAAAUUCUCAGUGACUUUGGAGAAUAUAAUAGAAUUAGAUCUAACUGCCAUUCCCAUCAAUGCACUGCCAGCAUCUAUUGGAUUUCAAAGCAAGCUAGAAACCCUGGUUUUAAAACUCACUGAAAUUGAGAGCAUACCUUCAAGUAUCAAGAAUCUUACAAGACUAAGAAAACUAGACAUACAACGUUGCAAAAAGCUUCUGGCUCUACCUGAGCUUCCUUCAUCACUUGAAACUCUACUUGUUGAAUGUAUAUCAUUGAAGACUGUAAUGUUCCCUUCAACAGCUGCUGAACAAUUCAAGGAAAACAAGAAAAGGGUUGAGUUCUGGAAUUGCUUGAAUCUGGACAAACGUUCUCUCAUAAAUAUUGGGUUUAAUAUGCAAAUCAAUUUGAUGAAGUUUGCAUAUCAACAUUUACUGACACUGGAACAUGAUUCUGUUGAAAGUUAUGUUGAUUACAAAGACAACUAUGCUUCUUAUCAAGCAGUGUAUGUGUAUCCUGGAAGUAGUGUUCCAGAGUGGUUCGAGUACAAGACAACAAAGAAUGAGAUGAUUGUUGAUCUCUCUUCUCAUCUCUCGCCUUUGUUGGGCUUUGUUUUUUGCUUCAUCCUUGUUGAAGACUCCCAACAUUGUUACGGAAUUGAAUUGAAAAUCACUACAAUUGAUGCUGAGGGUGAUGGUGAAAAGGAUGGUAUAAUUAUCUACAUGAAUAGGUCAUGUUUCUAUAUUGAAUCAGAUCAUGUGUGCAUGAUUUACGACCAACAAUUUUCUCACUACCUAACCAGCAUAGCAAAAAAUCAGACAAGGUUUAAAAUCAAAGUCACAGCAAGGAGACAAACCAAGACAUAUAGAGAAAUACCAGAGGUGGAGCUAAAAGGGUUUGGCAUCAGCCCUGUAUACAACUCAACAUACCACGAUCUUAUUCACCAGAUGAAGAGGUUGAUUUAGACACAAGUCUAUAGUUUGAUUAGAUUUUGAUGCAUUAGUUACGGCAUUUCCAAUAUCUGUGACAGGUAAAGAAGGAUAGCUGAAGGGGAUUACCGAAGUACUGGUAGAAAUUCAGCUCAUCGAGUGUCCUGUAUAUGCAACUGAUUGCAAAUGUGUUAAUUGCAAUGACAUGGGCCGCGCCUUUUGUUAUGACAAGGUCUGGUUUGGCCAGAGAAGGAGGAUCAAGUUCUGUCAGGACAACUUUUGCCCUGACAACAGGAGUGGGUUCGUUCGGUAUGGUCAGUUUUCUGGGCUAUUUCAGGUUCUGGCUCAGCCAAGGAAGUAGGAUCAGGUUCUGUCAGGACGGGUUCAGACGGGACAAUAGGUGUAUGUUUGGUCUAGGUAGUUUCUAGUUUGGUCAAGGAAGCGGCAAAUGCUAAAUGUCCAAAAACUUUUAGUGGAAUGGAGGUUAGAAUUUUGUUGGUUGGAAGGAUUUUUUAGAGUUGAGUAAGGUGUGUCAAACUCAAAUAGGAGAACUCGGGAAGACAUGCGGUUAAUGAGGUAGUUGGCAGAUAGGAUAACAUCUCCCCAAUAUUGUUUUGGCACAUUUGGGACAAUCAUGAGGGAUCUUGUCACUUCUAGUAAGUAACAAUUUUUCCAUUCUGCUACACCGUUUUGCUGAGGGCUGUCAACACAGGAACUUUGGUAUCAUCUGGACACUUUUUUGUGACCUUCUUCCUUGUAUUCUCUGUCUCGAACACUUCUAUGCAGAAAAUCAUUGUAUAAUAAUACUAAGUAAUUGAUUUGCAGAAAUCAAAGUAAACAUUCAUUUUGGUAGUUAAAUAUGUGAGAUGCUAUAAUGAUAGUCUAUGAAUGUAUCAAAAUUAUAAAAACAUACCUAAACGUGUCUUUUGUUACUUAGGAUUCUUGAAUGUAACUUCCGUUUGUCAAUUUGGUUUAUAAAGUUACUAACGAAAGACACACCUGGGGAUACUUUUGUAGUUUUGAUACAUUCAGGAAUAUUGUAACGUCUAACAUCUGUAUCUGAACUCCAUAUGAGUAGAGACCAAAUCACUGAUUACUCGCAUAAAUCAUAUCUAGAUAUUAUUGAGGUA
Molecule: RNA transcript, 4491 nt
Organism: Trifolium pratense (red clover)
Lineage: Eukaryota; Viridiplantae; Streptophyta; Magnoliopsida; Fabales; Fabaceae
Gene name: disease resistance protein RPV1-like
Exons: 10
Source: RefSeq, a predicted model, not a curated record